UGGUGGAGUGAUUUGUCUGGUUAAUUCCGUUAACGAACGAGACCUCAGCCUGCUAAAUAGUGUGCAUAUUCGAAAGAAUGUGUUCGACUUCUUAGAGGGACAUUUCGGUUUUUACCGGUAAGGGAAGUUUGUAGGCAAUAACA
Molecule: ribosomal RNA, 143 nt
Filed under: uncultured eukaryote
Lineage: Eukaryota
Description: partial 18S ribosomal RNA
Rfam family: Eukaryotic small subunit ribosomal RNA
Source: RNAcentral